UACGUAGGGUGCGAGCGUUAAUCGGAAUUACUGGGCGUAAAGCGUGCGCAGGUGGUUUGUUAAGUCAGAUGUGAAAGCCCUGGGCUUAACCUAGGAAUUGCGUUUGAAACUGGCGAGCUAGAGUCUGUCAGAGGGGGGUAGAAUUCCAUGUGUAGCAGUGAAAUGCGUAGAGAUGUGGAGGAAUAUCGAUGGCGAAGGCAGCCCCCCUGAGAUAAGACUGACGCUCAUGCACGAAAGCGGUGGGGAGCAAACAGGAUUAGAUACCCUGGUAGUCCACGCCCUAAACGAUGUCGACUGGUUGUUGGGCAACUUGAUUGUUCAGUAACGAAGCUAACGCGAGAAGUCGACCGCCUGGGGAGUACGGUCGCAAGAUUAAACUCA
RNAcentral lists this ribosomal RNA (381 nucleotides) under uncultured bacterium. RNAcentral's name for it is "bacterial SSU rRNA". It matches the Rfam family "Bacterial small subunit ribosomal RNA", at positions 524 to 903 of the family's 1533-position model. The record is from RNAcentral.